AACGAACGCUGGCGGCAUGCCUAACACAUGCAAGUCGAACGAGACCUUCGGGUCUAGUGGCGCACGGGUUCGUAACGCGUGGGAACCUGCCCUUAGGUUCGGAAUAACUCCCCGAAAGGGGUGCUAAUACCGGAUAAUGUCUUCGGACCAAAGAUUUAUCGCCUUUGGAUGGGCCCGCGUUGGAUUAGCUAGUUGGUAGGGUAAAAGCCUACCAAGGCGACGAUCCAUAGCUGGUCUGAGAGGAUGAUCAGCCACACUGGGACUGAGACACGGCCCAGACUCCUACGGGAGGCAGCAGUGGGGAAUAUUGGACAAUGGGAGAAAGCCUGAUCCAGCAAUGCCGCGUGAGUGAUGAAGGCCUUAUGGUUGUAAAGCUCUUUUACCCGGGAUGAUAAUGACAGUACCGGGAGAAUAAGCUCCGGCUAACUCCGUG
This 433-nucleotide ribosomal RNA is filed under the name uncultured bacterium. RNAcentral describes it as "partial 16S ribosomal RNA". It matches the Rfam family "Bacterial small subunit ribosomal RNA", at positions 29 to 507 of the family's 1533-position model. The record is from RNAcentral.